GAUGAAGGCUUCGGGUCGUAAAGCACUUUUGAGGGGAUGAGGAAGGACAGUACCCUCAGAAUAAGCCUCGGCUAACUACGUGCCAGCAGCCGCGGUAAAACGUAGGAGGCGAGCGUUAUCCGGAUUUACUGGGCGUAAAGCGCGUGUAGGCGGACGAGCAAGUUGGAUGUGAAAGCUCCUGGCUUAACUGGGAGAGGUCGUUCAAAACUGCUGGUCUUGAGUACAGUAGAGGGAAGUGGAAUUCCGGGUGUAGUGGUGAAAUGCGUAGAUAUCCGGAGGAACACCAGUGGCGAAAGCGGCUUCCUGGACUGGUACUGACGCUCAGACGCGAAAGCUAGGGUAGCAAACGGGAUUAGAGACCCCGGUAGUCCUAGCUGUAAACGAUGUAGACUUGGCGUAGGAGGGUUUAAAUCCUUCUGUGCCGCAGCUAACGCGAUAAGUCUACCGCCUGGGGACUACGGCCGCAAGGUUAAAACUCAAAGGAAUUGACGGGGGCCCGCACAAGCAGCGGAGCGUGUGGUUUAAUUCGAUGUUACACGAAGAACCUUACCAGGGUUUGACAUGCAGGUGGUAGGGAACCGAAAGGGGACCGACUCUUCGGAGAGCCUGCACAGGUGCUGCAUGGCUGUCGUCAGCUCGUGUCGUGAGAUGUUCGGUUAAGUCCGCUAACGAGCGCAACCCUCUCUGUGUGUUAUACGUGUCACACGGGACUGCCGGUCUUAAGCCGGAGGAAGGUGGGGAUGACGUCAAGUCAGCAUGGCCUUUAUAUCCUGGGCUACACACACGCUACAAUGGCCAACACAAUAGGUUGCGAAACCGCAAGGUGGAGCCAAUCCCCAAAGUUGGUCUCAGUUCAGAUCGUAGGCUGCAACUCGCCUGCGUGAAGACGGAGUUGCUAGUAACCGCAAGUCAGCUAUACUGCGGUGAAUACGUUCCCGGGCCUUGUACACACCGCCCGUCACGUCAUGGGAGCUGGCAACACCUGAAGCCGGUAUCCUAACCCGCAAGGGAGGGAGCCUCGAGGGGG
RNAcentral lists this ribosomal RNA (1027 nucleotides) under uncultured bacterium. RNAcentral's name for it is "bacterial SSU rRNA". It matches the Rfam family "Bacterial small subunit ribosomal RNA", at positions 407 to 1464 of the family's 1533-position model. The record is from RNAcentral.